This 73-nucleotide transfer RNA is filed under the name Massilia sp. R2A-15. RNAcentral's name for it is "tRNA-OTHER". The record is from RNAcentral. Lineage: Bacteria; Pseudomonadati; Pseudomonadota; Betaproteobacteria; Burkholderiales; Oxalobacteraceae.
GCGAGGUUCGCUUAUUGGUAAAGCCCAGUCGCCCGAGACUGAAAACGAGGUUCGAUUCCUCGGCCCCGCACCA